Molecule: ribosomal RNA, 478 nt
Filed under: uncultured bacterium
Lineage: Bacteria
Description: SSU rRNA
Rfam family: Bacterial small subunit ribosomal RNA
Source: RNAcentral
AGGACGAACGCUGGCGGCGUGCUUAACACAUGCAAGUCGAACGAUGAAGCCUUUCGGGGUGGAUUAGUGGCGAACGGGUGAGUAACACGUGGGCAACCUGCCCUCCACUCUGGGAUAACUCCGGGAAACCGGGGCUAAUACUGGAUAUGACCUGGGAUCGCAUGGUCCUGGGUGGAAAGUUUUUCGGUGGAGGAUGGGCCCGCGGCCUAUCAGCUUGUUGGUGGGGUGAUGGCCUACCAAGGCGGUGACGGGUAGCCGGCCUGAGAGGGCGAACGGCCACACUGGGACUGAGACACGGCCCAGACUCCUGCGGGAGGCAGCAGUGGGGAAUAUUGCACAAUGGGCGAAAGCCUGAUGCAGCGACGCCGCGUGAGGGAUGACGGCCUUCGGGUUGUAAACCUCUUUCAGCAGGGACCAAGCGUGAGUGAGUGUACCUGCAGAAGAAGCACGGCUAACUACGUGCCAGCAGCCGCGGUAA